CUUCUUGCGUGAUGAUACAAGCAAAACAAGCAUAGUUCACACUGAAACGAUCGUGUUGACAACCUAUAUCUAUUCGUCUUUCGCUCCUAUCUGAUCCAUCUC
Molecule: small nucleolar RNA, 102 nt
Filed under: Fistulina hepatica ATCC 64428
Lineage: Eukaryota; Fungi; Basidiomycota; Agaricomycetes; Agaricales; Fistulinaceae
Description: Small nucleolar RNA snR60/Z15/Z230/Z193/J17
Rfam family: Small nucleolar RNA snR60/Z15/Z230/Z193/J17
About the family: The members of this family belong to the C/D class of snoRNAs which contain the C (UGAUGA) and D (CUGA) box motifs. Most of the members of the box C/D family function in directing site-specific 2'-O-methylation of substrate RNAs. The family includes the yeast snoRNA snR60 (also known as Z15) and the corresponding human guide snoRNA U80 (SNORD80).
Source: Rfam by way of RNAcentral